UACAGAGGUCUCAAGCGUUGUUCGGAUUCAUUGGGCGUAAAGGGUGCGUAGGCGGCGCGGUAAGUCGGGUGUGAAAUCUCGGAGCUUAACUCCGAAACUGCAUUCGAUACUGCCGUGCUUGAGGACUGGAGAGGAGACUGGAAUUCUCGGUGUAGCGGUGAAAUGCGUAGAUAUCGAGAGGAACACCUGCGGCGAAGGCGGGUUGCUGGGCCGACACUGACGCUGAUGCGCGAAAGCCAGGGGAGCGAACGGG
Molecule: ribosomal RNA, 253 nt
Filed under: uncultured bacterium
Lineage: Bacteria
Description: partial 16S ribosomal RNA
Rfam family: Bacterial small subunit ribosomal RNA
Source: RNAcentral